GAUGAACGCUGGCGGCGUGCCUAAUACAUGCAAGUCGAGCGAACAGACGAGGAGCUUGCUCCUCUGACGUUAGCGGCGGACGGGUGAGUAACACGUGGAUAACCUACCUACAAGACUGGGAUAACUUCGGGAAACCGGAGCUAAUACCGGAUAAUAUAUUGAACCGCAUGGUUCAAUAGUGAAAGACGGUUUUGCUGUCACUUAUAGAUGGAUCCGCGCUGCAUUAGCUAGUUGGUAAGGUAACGGCUUACCAAGGCGACGAUGCGUAGCCGACCUGAGAGGGUGAUCGGCCACACUGGAACUGAGACACGGUCCAGACUCCUACGGGAGGCAGCAGUAGGGAAUCUUCCGCAAUGGGCGAAAGCCUGACGGAGCAACGCCGCGUGAGUGAUGAAGGUCUUCGGAUCGUAAAACUCUGUUAUUAGGGAAGAACAAAUGUGUAAGUAACUAUGCACAUCUUGACGGUACCUAAUCAGAAAGCCACGGCUAACUACGUG
RNAcentral lists this ribosomal RNA (497 nucleotides) under uncultured bacterium. RNAcentral describes it as "partial 16S ribosomal RNA". It matches the Rfam family "Bacterial small subunit ribosomal RNA", at positions 28 to 507 of the family's 1533-position model. The record is from RNAcentral.